UUACGGACAUAUCACGAUGAAACACCGACUCUCGUACGAUCACCGAAGUUAAGCAACAUCAAGCUUGGUCAGUACCUAAAUGGGUGACUGCUUGGGAAUACCAGAUUCUGUAA
This is a non-coding RNA of Acanthosepion pharaonis, 113 nucleotides long. The record is from the annotation of a GenBank genome assembly. Lineage: Eukaryota; Metazoa; Mollusca; Cephalopoda; Sepiida; Sepiidae.